This 215-nucleotide unclassified non-coding RNA is filed under the name plant metagenome. RNAcentral's name for it is "partial contains small subunit ribosomal RNA and internal transcribed spacer 1". The stretch from base 1 to 46 matches the Rfam family "Eukaryotic small subunit ribosomal RNA", at positions 1786 to 1831 of the family's 1831-position model. The record is from RNAcentral.
AAGUCGUAACAAGGUCUCCGUAGGUGAACCUGCGGAGGGAUCAUUACUGAGUGAGGGUGCCCCCGGGCGCCGCACCUCCCAACCCUUUGUUUUGACCAACACCUCAGUUGCCUCGGGGGUGACCCGGCCCUCUCGGGUCCGGGGGCCCCCGCCUGGACACGACCAUCAACGCUGCAAUCUCUGCGUCGAGUCGAUGAAUGCAGAUCAAUCAAAUC